Pelobates cultripes (western spadefoot toad) is the source of this 242-nucleotide non-coding RNA. NCBI's taxonomy places the organism in Eukaryota, Metazoa, Chordata, Amphibia, Anura, Pelobatidae. The record is from the annotation of a GenBank genome assembly.
CUGAAACAGGUUUCAAUGAUGUUAAUCUAUGGUUAGAAUGGAUAAAGAAUGGUGGGGGGAGUGUACUCUGGCUAAAGCAAUCAUGCCCAUACAUAUUAUCUCUGACACACACCCCGAUACUCAUGAGUCCAAACACUCACCAACCAAGGUAAAGCGUGAAGCCCCAGUAAAAGGCAGUUUUGACCCUCAUAUUUACAUUGAUGCCAUUGGGGUACCUAGGGGGGUGCCCAAUGAGUUUAAAG